AUAUAUUCACUUUUUUUUUUCAUUUAAUUUUUAGGUUUAGGGUGUAAAAAGUGGAAAAAAAUUGAAAAAGUGGGGCCCACACGUGAGCUAAGGGAUCAUUUCAUCAUUUUUACAACUUUGCAAAUUUAAUAUAAUACACCUAACACCCUCCACUUAUUCCAAUAUUAAAAAAAAACUCUCUCUCCUCUUCAAUUCUCUCCAACUCCCGCAAUUUCCAACAAGCUCCUCCUAAAACAUCAUUUUUGUCUCUCCUUCUUCUCCAGCUGCUAAGGGCUCAUCGUUGCUUUAUAAGGUUAGUGAAAAUCAAGUUUCGAUUAUUUUUAGAUCCAUUUAAUUAAUGGAUUUCACUGGUAAUCGAUUCGUAGUAAUGUAGGAAAUUUAUUUAUUUAUUUUGAAUUUGGUUGAUUAAGUACUUAAAAUAUGAGAAUUUUAUAGGUAAUUAGUUUGAUUUUGAAGUAAUGGUUGAUGUUUUACUCGAUAUUUUUGAUAGAUUUUUUCGUCGUUCACGGUAUUGAAUUUUGAAAUUUUUGUUAAAAAAUUUUGGUUUAUUUCUAAUUUUUUUAGCAAUGAAGUGUUGAAUAGUGGGAUAAUUGUUAUUUUAAGAGUUAUUUGGCAAUUUGAUUCAAACAGUGACAUGUUUCUGUCCAUAGACCCGUGAUCUAUGAAAUGAGAAUGCCCUAGAUUGAAAUCAAUUUUUAGACGUAUGAAAUUCUUUUAAGAUAUGAUUGGUGAAAUAGUGAAAAUUGAAAGAUUAAUAGCAAAUUAGUUUGAUUUGUAGCAAUAGUUUAUUUUUACCAAUAGUUGAGUUUUGAUACUUCGUGUUGGAUUUUGGUACAGUUAUGGUAUUUUGUGUAGUGAACUGUUCAAUGGUGGGAUAUUUCUUAGUUUUUGGGGUUUUUCAUUCAAGCAUUGAGUUGUUUCUGUCAGUAGACUUGUGAUGUAUGAACUGAAAAUGGCAGAUUUAUUCUGUAGGUGUAGAUUAUGUUGAAAAUAGCUAAGAAAAAUAUAUUGCUAAACACAAAGCUGAUAGCGCAUCUGAUUCUGCUGGUAGCAGUAGACAAAAAAAUUGAGGCAAUUGAAAAUAUCUCAAAAAGGAAGAAAAUUAAAGAGGAAG
Molecule: long non-coding RNA, 1114 nt
Filed under: Capsicum annuum
Lineage: Eukaryota; Viridiplantae; Streptophyta; Magnoliopsida; Solanales; Solanaceae
Description: long non-coding RNA (CANN_LNC001241)
Source: RNAcentral